RNAcentral lists this transfer RNA (71 nucleotides) under Rhodospirillales bacterium. RNAcentral's name for it is "tRNA-Glu". Lineage: Bacteria; Pseudomonadati; Pseudomonadota; Alphaproteobacteria; Rhodospirillales. The record is from RNAcentral.
GGACCCGCCGGGACGGUCGUUAUCACCCUCUCACGGCGGUAACAGGGGUUCGAAUCCCCUACGGGACGCCA